RNAcentral lists this non-coding RNA (575 nucleotides) under Brandzeia filicifolia. RNAcentral's name for it is "partial tRNA-Leu". The stretch from base 30 to 164 matches the Rfam family "Group I catalytic intron", at positions 49 to 158 of the family's 253-position model. The record is from RNAcentral. Lineage: Eukaryota; Viridiplantae; Streptophyta; Magnoliopsida; Fabales; Fabaceae.
CCUUGGUAUGGAAAAACCUACCAAGUGAGAACUUUCAAAUUCAGAGAAACCCUGGAAUUAACAAUGGGCAAUCCUGAGCCAAAUCCUGUUUUCCGAAAACAAAGAAGAGUUCAGAAAGCGAGAAAAAAAAAUCAAAGGAUAGGUGCAGAGACUCAAUGGAAGCUGUUCUAACAAAUGGAGUUAACGGCAUUUCGUUUCGUUAGUAAAGGAAUCCUUCUAUCGAAACUCCAGAAAAGAAAGGAUCAAGGAUAAACCUAUCUAUCUAUCUAUACGUACUGAAAUACUAUCUCAAAUGAUUAAUAACGACCCCGAAUCUCUAUUUUAUUAUUUAUAUACACUAUAUAUAUACACUAAUAUAUGAAUAUAUGAAAAUGGUUUAUUCCUUUUUUUUAUAUUAAUAUAUAUGACAAAUGAAAUAUGUGAAUUGAUUCAACGUUGACGAAAGAAUAUUAAUUGAUCAAAUCCUUCAUUCCAUCCUAGUCUAAUAGAUCUUGAAUGAUUAAUCGGACGAGAAUAAAGAUAGAGUCCCGCUCCACAUGUCAAUACCGACAACAAUGAAAUUUAUAGUAAUAGGA